Long non-coding RNA from Papaver somniferum (opium poppy), 437 nucleotides. RefSeq lists it as uncharacterized. Lineage: Eukaryota; Viridiplantae; Streptophyta; Magnoliopsida; Ranunculales; Papaveraceae. The transcript is spliced from 3 exons. The record is from RefSeq and is a predicted model, not a curated record.
AGCUGGAUUUUUUUAUAUAAGCGUGCACAACAUGGUUCAUUUGGCUGAUGAGGCCUUAGUUUGUGGAUCUGUUAGGUAUCGAUGGAUUACCAAUUCGAAAGGGCAAUGAAGGAGUGCAAAAACAUCCCAAAUAACAUCAGAUACAUUGAAGGGUCAAUUACGAAGUCGACUGAAAUGGAUGACUGUGUUAGAUUUGCCAUGGAGCACAUGAAAAAUGCGGAUCAAGGAGGUCACAAAGCAAAUUUGGAGCCCUUCUUAAAGGAUGAACAUGAAUUCAACGAUGUGGGUUUUGUGAUUGAUGAAAAGCCAGUUCAGGUGGGCCCUAUUCAGUGGAUGCAGAUACGUCGGUGAUAGGUGCAAAGGAGUCAUUUGGAGCGAACGAAGAAGAAAGCCUCCUUUUUGAGCAAGAAGUGCAAUUUGGUCAUUAUGCAAUCGAC